UACGGGGGGAGCAAGCGUUGUUCGGAUUUACUGGGCGUAAAGGGCGCGUAGGCGGCCACGACAAGUCACUUGUGAAAUCUCCGGGCUUAACUCGGAAAGGUCAAGUGAUACUGUCGGGCUAGAGUACAGAAGGGGCAACUGGAAUUCUCGGUGUAGCGGCGAAAUGCGUAGAUAUCGAGAGGAACACCUGCGGCGAAGGCGGGUUGCUGGGCUGAUACUGACGCUGAUGCGCGAAAGCCAGGGGAGCGAACGGG
Molecule: ribosomal RNA, 254 nt
Filed under: uncultured bacterium
Lineage: Bacteria
Description: partial 16S ribosomal RNA
Rfam family: Bacterial small subunit ribosomal RNA
Source: RNAcentral